AGCUUCACUAGCGUAUAUUAAAGUUGUUGUAGUUAAAAAGCUCGUAGUUGGAUUUUGGGAGUGAUGACGUUGGGUCUGCCGAGAUGGUGUGUACCCUCGUUGCGCUUCUUUCUUUCGCACUUUAUGUGGUCCGUGGGCGCUUCAUUGGGCUCGCGGGUGCCGCGUGCGAUCGUUUACUUUGAAUAAAUUGAAGUGCUCAGAGCAGGCGAGUUUUCGGCCGUUGAACAAUUGAACAUGGGAUAAUGAAAUAGGACCCUCAUCUUAUUUUGUUGGUUUUAGAGAUGAAGGUAAUGAUUAACAGGGACAGUCGGGGAUAUUAGUAUUUGCUAGUCAGAGGUGAAAUUCAUGGACCUAGUGAAGACUAACUAGUGCGAAGGCAUUUAUCAAGGAUGUUUUCAUU
RNAcentral lists this ribosomal RNA (400 nucleotides) under phytoplankton environmental sample. RNAcentral's name for it is "partial small subunit ribosomal RNA". It matches the Rfam family "Eukaryotic small subunit ribosomal RNA", at positions 587 to 974 of the family's 1831-position model. The record is from RNAcentral.